This 432-nucleotide ribosomal RNA is filed under the name Bacillus sp. R-27375. RNAcentral's name for it is "bacterial SSU rRNA". It matches the Rfam family "Bacterial small subunit ribosomal RNA", at positions 28 to 449 of the family's 1533-position model. The record is from RNAcentral. Lineage: Bacteria; Bacillati; Bacillota; Bacilli; Caryophanales; Bacillaceae.
GACGAACGCUGGCGGCGUGCCUAAUACAUGCAAGUCGAGCGGACCGACGGGAGCUUGCUCCCUUAGGUCAGCGGCGGACGGGUGAGUAACACGUGGGUAACCUGCCUGUAAGACUGGGAUAACUCCGGGAAACCGGGGCUAAUACCGGAUGCUUGAUUGAACCGCAUGGUUCAAUCAUAAAAGGUGGCUUUYAGCUACCACUURCAGAUGGACCCGCGGCGCAUUAGCUAGUUGGUGAGGUAACGGCUCACCAAGGCGACGAUGCGUAGCCGACCUGAGAGGGUGAUCGGCCACACUGGGACUGAGACACGGCCCAGACUCCUACGGGAGGCAGCAGUAGGGAAUCUUCCGCAAUGGACGAAAGUCUGACGGAGCAACGCCGCGUGAGUGAUGAAGGUUUUCGGAUCGUAAAACUCUGUUGUUAGGGAAGAA